UCUCUUCUUUUCUUUUCUUUUCUUUUCUUUUCUUUUCUUUUCUUUUCUUUUCUUUUCUUUUCUUUCCUUUCCUUUCCUUUCCUUUUCUUUUCUUUUCUUUUCUUUUCUUUUCUUUUCUUUUCUUUUCUUUUCUUUCCUUUCCUUUCCUUUCCUUUCCUUUCCUUUCCUUUCCUUUCCUUUCCUUUCCUUUCCUUUCCUUUCCUUUCCUUUCCUUUUCUUUUCUUUUCUUUUCUUUUCUUUUCUUUUCUUUUCUUUUCUUUUCUU
This 264-nucleotide long non-coding RNA is filed under the name Dunaliella salina. RNAcentral describes it as "long non-coding RNA (DSAL_LNC000003)". Lineage: Eukaryota; Viridiplantae; Chlorophyta; Chlorophyceae; Chlamydomonadales; Dunaliellaceae. The record is from RNAcentral.